RNAcentral lists this small nucleolar RNA (132 nucleotides) under Neotoma lepida (desert woodrat). RNAcentral describes it as "Small nucleolar RNA SNORA70". It matches the Rfam family "Small nucleolar RNA SNORA70". Rfam says of the family: snoRNA U70 seems to be exclusive to mammals and is a member of the H/ACA class of snoRNA which contain H (ANANNA) and ACA box motifs. H/ACA box snoRNAs are involved in the conversion of uridines to pseudouridines (5-ribosyluracil) a constituent of structural RNAs (transfer, ribosomal, small nuclear, and small nucleolar). Lineage: Eukaryota; Metazoa; Chordata; Mammalia; Rodentia; Cricetidae. The record is from Rfam by way of RNAcentral.
UGGCAACCAAUUAAGCCAACCAGGUUCCUUUACUCUCAGGGACAGCUUUGCAGUGGUUGUGAACACCCCCCUCCUUGGUAGUGUAGCCGCCUAUUUCCUAUAUGGACUGCCCUAAGGGAAUUGGAGACAAUG